GUAGUCGUGGAAGAUUGAUAAAGCGAUGGACUAGAAAUCCAUUCGGAUUUUUCCGCAUAAGUUCGAAUCCAACCGACUACG
Molecule: non-coding RNA, 81 nt
Organism: Trichonephila clavipes
Lineage: Eukaryota; Metazoa; Arthropoda; Arachnida; Araneae; Nephilidae
Source: the annotation of a GenBank genome assembly